CUCUAUCCCCCGCAUCAUGUUGUGUGGUGGACCGUGGCCACGGCAACGGAUGCGCGCAGGUGCACACACGCAUUAGCAGCCAUUCGCACGCACGCACAUAGAGACGUACGUACGCGUACACUCACAGACGCACACACGCGCACACGCCGAGUGACCCACCAAUUGCACAGGGCUACCCUGCGCGGUCCUCCUAGCGUGCGGCACGCCCCUCUCCUCCCUCGCAGCAAUAGAAGUAGCAGUGCCGAGACACGGAGGGGGGAGGAGGGGCACCAGCGCCUAGCGUUGCGCAAGUCGUAGCUUCCGUCUCGUCCUCCCCCUACAUCUCCGCGCAUAAACACACACACACACACACACACAAAACGCACACACAGGUACGCCCACCGCUUAGACACGCGAACCCAGCAGCUGUGGCGCCGUACACUGCACGUCGUUCGAGCCUCCUUCUUUUUCGCUCUCUCUUGUUUCUAUCUGUCAUCCACUUCGACACCCAUAGACUGUGCACCUCUGCUUGGUGCCUGGCGCAGCGCCAUUACCUGCCUCCCCCCUCACGUCUGCGCGCGUGUGCUCCUCUGGUGGUGGCUCUCAUCUUGGUCCAGCCGACCACACAGACACGCACACGCGCACGAAACAAAAAAACGAUCGUAAUGAGUGGCGAGGGCGUCCAUUCCCUGACGCAGCGGUUGCUGUCCUUGGAGGACAUCAUCCGGCAGCAGGAGCAAACGAUCAGCGCGGUGCUGCAGCGGCUGCGCGAUGUGGAGCAGCACGCCGCGGCGGAGUCGCACAACCGCGAGCAGGCGCAGCAGCAAGUGUACGCGCUCCUCAGCGAUCGCGGCGGCGCCACCGCGGAGGCCGUCAAUCAGAUGCAGACGCUUUUGCGAAAUCACGACGAUCGUCUCAGUGCGCUGCAGGCUGAGGUCCAGGGGCACGGCGUGGCGUUGCGCGGCGUCAGCGACAAACACGAUGCGGCGUUCCGUGGAAUGGAGCAGCGUCUCCAGGCGGACGCCAAUGGCGCGCACCAGCGCGCGCAAACCGGUGAGGCCGCAUCUGCUGAAGCAAUGCGCGCGAUUCAAGCGCAGCUGCAGAGCCUGGCGAACGCGACGCAGGCCAUCGAAGCUCGCAACCAUGCUAAUCUACUGGCGCUCCAGCAACAGAUGAGCGCCGAGAUCGCCGCGCAGCGCCAGCGAAGCGACAACCUAGAGAGCGCCAUGCGCGAUGCACUGCGCGACGUGCACGGGUCCCUUUCUGGUGAUGUGCAGAGCGCCGGUGCUCAGCAGCGCGGUGAUCUGGAGGGCGCGGUGCAGCGCAUCAACCAGAAACUCGAGUCUCUCGACCAGCGUACACGCCUUGACAUGAAUCAGCUACACAACACUGAGCAGGCCGACGUCAGCGACUUGCGGCGCCGCGUUGGCGAGCUGGAGUUCAGUUUGAGCGAGAUGGUCCAGGCUGCCACGAACGGGCUGGCGCGCGAGGUGGCACAGGUAGCGCAACACAGCCAGAUGCUGGACAAACGGCAGGAAACAGCGCACCAGGCAAUCCUGCAGGAGCUCGCCAAGCACGACAGUCAGCUAGAGACCGUGGACCUCAACUGGCGGGCGAGCGUCACCGACCUCAGCGUCAAGAUGCGCGAGGAUGUGGCUGCCACACAGCACCGUGCAACAGCGGGUGAUCAAGCGUUGCAGUCCCAGAUCGGCGGUGUACAGGAUCUUUUUGUUGCUGCAACUGAUAAACUACGCCGUGAUUUGACGGCGCUGACAACAACUGUGCAGGAGAAUUGUAUAAAGCCACUCCAGCAGGCGCACCACGCACUGAGCAUACAGGAGCAGCGCAUGAGCCGCAUCGCCGACGACUACGCCUCUACGCAGGACUAUCUGAGGACGUUCGUAUCGCACGUCGACAAGGAUGUGACACAGUUGAAGCACGUUUUCGAGGCUGCGGUGCGAUCCGCGCACUCCGACCUACUGGAGCGCAUCAACGUCAUCGCGGCGUCGCACACGAUAAACCAAGACCGGGAGAUGCUCCGUGCGGAGGUGAAUCGUGGUUUGGGGAGGCUCUGGGAGGAUGCCAAGAACAUGUUUUUGACGCAGCGCAGCUUGAAUGAUAUCCAGAAGCAGCUGAUGAUGCUGGAGAGCGCCGUGCGCGUGGAGCUCUGCGCGUUGGCGGAGCGGAACACAGACGUCUGGCGCACGAUCGACGAUCUCCGCAUCGGGCGGCUUCGCGCAGCCCAAGAGCCGAUCACGUCAGCCAUAGCCACCAGAAUAGCUCCGGAGGAAAGCCCCUUUCGCGAUUCAGCUGCCGCCAAUGCCGUCACCUCUGCUGUGACAACUCCCGUUGCAGGUUCCCCCUCUCGAGUGCCCCUGAAUCAAGUAUCGGCGGUGCAGGCAGAUGCCCUCAAGGCAUCGCCAGAGCAGAUCAGGACUGCAGCAACCGCCGCCAUUGCGGCGCCGUGGUCGUCGAUCUCGGCAAAGACGUCGCGCGCCAGCUCCGCGGCGGCGAAGGCGGAGGAAAUCUGCAGGGCCAGCGAUGAACAUAGCGAGCGUCUGCGGCAGCAUGAGGAGGACAUCAAAGGGCUGCGGGCCUCCUUGCAGCGACUGCGCAUUGCGCAGGCGCAAGACUUCAGCAAAUCGGCGAGCGCAACCCAGUGGGACAGCGCGUCACCAACGAGCACUGCAGCAGCCGCUGCCGCCCAGGACGAUGACACAUCCGGGGAGGCUAGGUCGGCCGCGCGAGAGGCAGCAACGCACGUUAAGGCUACAGAGUCGGCGCAGGACGAAAGCGUGCACGCGGCCAAAGAGCUUCCGCUUGACCUCCAGGUGGUCGACAAGCUCGAAGACUCGCUGCAGAUGCAGUUGGGAGAGCUGAAGGCCAUGCAAGCAGCUACAGUACCUGGGGAGCAAGGGCAAUCUUUACAGUCGUCGCCACCCUCGAAGAAAAUCAAAAAGCCGAUGGCAGCGCCGUUCUCCACGAAGGCCACGCCAUCACGCUCGGUGCUCUUCAAGAAGCGCGUCGUCAAGGAGGAGGGAGCCGCGACACAUGAGGCAGAGGACGAAGCUGCAGCACAUGAGGCAGAGGAGGAUGAACAUGGCGUUAGCGACACUGUUGCUUUUACCAUAUCUUACCCACCGCAGAAGGCUAAGAGCCACACUAGUCUCUCUGCGGACGCCGCCGCGGCACCGGAAGAUAACCUCGUCGAGGUUCCCGGCAAGUCGACCGGCGAGGUUUUCAUUUUGCGCCAGGACACGCUAGGCGUUACGUCGCCGGUCUCAGUGCGGAUGCGACCGGCCACCACGGGCUCUGCCACAAUCCUGGCAAAGCCAGUGACCUCGUCGGACGCGCUUGUGAAGUCGAAUUCGAGAGAGAGUGCCGUGAAGAAGCCGUUUCCCAGUCGCGGCACCACCUUGUCCGAGGUGCUGCUGCCCACCUGUCAGUUCGUGCGUAAGCGCGAGUAUGCCAACUUCAGAGACUUCACCAAGCGGGAGAUCGACGCCGUUUGGGUAGAACUGCUGAACGUGCGUCGUUCCCGCGGUCUUUCGAAGGAAGAGCUGCUGCUGCACAUCAGCCGGAGCAAGGAGGAGCUGCUGAACACGGUACUCAAGAUUGUGCAGCAGCAUGAGAGAGAGCUGCUCGGCAUGCUGACCAGCAUUAAGACCCAGCUCACGGAGAUGUAUCGCAACCCGCACUCCAUGCGGGAUAUUCGUGUGUUUCCUAUCGACGGCGGCCAGCGCCUGGAGGAGUUUGUGCGCUCCCUCUCAGGCCAACUGAAGGACAUGCCAGUCGCAACCGAGCCGGUGCCCGCAUCAACUCCAAUCAACACCGUCGGGCCGUCCGAGGAUGGAGGGCAGAAGACGCUGUCGCAACCAGCCACACACGAGCUUGGCGAACGGUGCGCAGCGACGUCUCCCACGGCAGCCGUGACGCCGUCUGGGCAAUCCCUGCUCUCUACACCACGCGGCGACCAAGGCGGGGUAGACACGACACUCUCGAGCGCACCCUCUUCCUCGCCGAUGGAGCCGCAGCUCAUUCAUCCGAUGGUACACCGCCACGCCAGCCAUCCCACCCUCAAGUCCGAGUCGCAGGGCGUCUUGCACGUCAGCAUCGACGAGAUGGCCUCAUCGAAGCUCGACGGCUCCCCUCAGUGCGAACCGUCACACUGCUUGGCGCCGAAGCGCGCAUCCUCGACAGACCAGAAGCAGGUGCGGCAGCACACCCCAACCACCUUCGUGAAUCCGCAAGUAACGGCUCCUGCACCGCCCCUGUCCGAAGCGGAAGGCAUCAGGUCGCACUCCCUUCCUGCUGGCACGUCUUCGACGUCAGCGCAGCUAUCCCAGACCCAGCUACCGUUACCAUCAUUGACGCCUAUUGGGUUCGAGCCUCAUCUGCCGCUUGAUGGCUUCCCUGCGGUCGCUUCUGCUGGUCCCCGCCCAGGGAGUGGUAGUGAACCCUCUUGCUAUGUUUCUCUGCACGCAGAUCGCACCGGUGCGCCGUUGGACCUGCUGCGGAGACCGAGCGACUCGGCCAUCCGUGGCUGCGCCGGCGACGACCCGGUGCGCUACGUGAAAGGAUCCAACUCGCCGUGCAGCCGGACGGGCAGCUCCAUCCACCUCAACCCGCUGCACGGGGUCGGCGUCACCAAUUGUCUGCCUCUUGCUGAGACGGAAGCUCUUCAAGCGUCAAUCGUGACAGCUGCGCCGGGCACGGCGUCGGUCGCACAGUCUAUGGACGGCGGGUUGCAGGUCCUUGAUGAUGUGGGACAGCCAGACACAUGGGCGCCUUCGCAUCAACGUUCUCGAGACUCGUCUUGCUUGCGCGCGGCUGCUCAAACGGGGAAGCCAGAUGCACCGCGGCAAAACGACGCGUCGCUUGAGGAGCACCACUUCUCUCAUAUUCGCCAAGAGAGCGAGACCUACUACCAGUCGGUAGAGAACAUGCGGCCGUCGCGCAGCGGCGUGCGGCGUCGGUCUGCGGGCACCGCAGCGUCCCCUUCCGCCAUUGACGGUGCUUCGCCUCUGUGCGCCAGAGAGCCAGGACAUCUCUACCACCGUCAGACCCUGACGUGGAGGCAGCCGCAGCCCUACGCGCCGCCUCACCAUCUUCCCUCUCCAGUGUCGCAACCGCAGCGGCGCGACUACAGCUCAGCGCCAAACGACUGCAGCAACUCGGUGCCGAUAGGCAUUGACCCGCCGCGUCCACCUGCGCAUGUCCACUCACUUUCAUCAACUGGGACCAUCCAUCUGGGGCCCUACGGGAGGCCGGCAGGUGCCAACACUGGAGGCUGCAACGGUGGCAGCAGCGUGCGCUACGUGCACAGCAGCUCACAGUCGUUCAGCUCUACAGCACAAGAGCAGCACCGUUCCUCGGGGAAGGUGUCGUCGAAUACGGUUGCGGUGCGCGUCCUCGACGACCCUGUGAGCGGAGCAGACGACUCAAGUAGAACGGACAAGUCCUCGGCGGUCACCAUCCGCCCGUACCACGAGUUCUGAUAAAAGGGCUGGAGGCGCAGUGUUCGAUGCUCUUUGGUGCUGCGGCGAGGUGGUUGAUGGUGCGGCGUGGACUGCACAUGAGCUCACACUCCUCAUUUGUGCUCAACGACGGCUCUGAUCCACUCACCACACCCACGCGCCUGCGCGCAGUGCGCUGCACAAUGCUGUGAUGCAGCGCUGGCUGUCUAUUGCUCCUCCCAGAAACGCACGCACGCCUAGAGAGUAGAGUGUGCCGACGUUACUGCGGCUGUGUUUCCGCGGUUCGGUGGCGAGGAGAUGGACGGUGGGGGCGAGUGGCGGUCUUUUCAAUCCGUCUGUUCUUGCUGCAGAACUGUCCAUGCAUGCACGCUCAUGUGUGCGCGUGUGGGGGAGUGGGAGCAGGUGCCGGACACUGACAAACAAUGAUGAGACGAGUCAGAGCGCGAGGUUGUGUCUGAUGCGCCUCCUUUCUGUAUCUCUCGGGGUGUCUCUUGCCAAAUCCUUCCCUCACGCUACCCCCCUGAAAGCCUCAUGAAAGGCCCCCCCUCCCUCCUCCCGCCCGCCCCUCACCUAAGACGGAACCGUUGGCAUCUUUCAUGUGCACAACACGUACUGUACAUCAUCCCAGGUGCUGAUGCUUCCCCCUCAAACAACAUCCCUAACCAUAUCAAGUUGCUCUCCGUCUUUGCCUACUCGGGCCAUCUUGUCACUAGCUAAGGUGGCAGCUCGUGUGCCGCACACAAACCCACACGCACGCAAACGCACAUACACGUAAACACACACGCCGGCUUCAUUCGUGUGUGUGUGUGUCUCCUGUCCGGUCAGCCACGGACUUCCGCCGAACUCUCCCUCUCCCUCUCACGCGUCGCAACACGCAGAGGCAGCGAAGUGCCCAUGCGGGCAAACAUUUGAGAUUGCUCUUCACGCUGGGGAGGCGAUGCAGGGAUGUCCGUGUGCCCUUGCUCUGC
RNAcentral lists this unclassified non-coding RNA (6424 nucleotides) under Leishmania donovani. Its description in RNAcentral is "gene:LdHU3.25.0500(CDS-product:hypothetical_prote in_conserved)". Lineage: Eukaryota; Euglenozoa; Kinetoplastea; Trypanosomatida; Trypanosomatidae. The record is from RNAcentral.